AUACGGAGGAUCCGAGCGUUAUCCGGAUUUAUUGGGUUUAAAGGGUGCGCAGGCGGCCAUUUAAGUCAGCGGUUAAAUCGUGGGGCUCAACCCCAUUCUGCCGUUGAUACUGGGUGGCUUGAUUGCGGUCGAGGUUGGCGGAAUUCGUUGUGUAGCGGUGAAAUGCAUAGAUAUGACGAAGAACACCGAUUGCGUAGGCAGCUGACCAGAUCGCAAAUGACGCUCAUGCACGAAAGUGCGGGGAUCGAACAGGAUUAGAUACCCUGGUAGUCCGCACAGUAAACGAUGAAUACUUGGUUUCGGCGAUAUAAUGUCGGAGGCAAAGCGAAAGCGAUAAGUAUUCCACCUGGGGAGUACGCCGGCAACGGUGAAACUCAAAGGAAUUGACGGGG
Molecule: ribosomal RNA, 392 nt
Filed under: uncultured bacterium
Lineage: Bacteria
Description: partial 16S ribosomal RNA
Rfam family: Bacterial small subunit ribosomal RNA
Source: RNAcentral